This 253-nucleotide ribosomal RNA is filed under the name uncultured bacterium. RNAcentral's name for it is "partial 16S ribosomal RNA". It matches the Rfam family "Bacterial small subunit ribosomal RNA", at positions 524 to 776 of the family's 1533-position model. The record is from RNAcentral.
UACGGAGGGUGCAAGCGUUGUUCGGAAUCACUGGGCGUAAAGCGUGCGUAGGCGGUUCAGUGUGUCGGUUGUGAAAUCCCCGGGCUUAACCUGGGAACUGCAUCCGAAACUGCUGGGCUAGAGUGUGGUAGAGGGAGGUGGAAUUCCAGGUGUAGCGGUGAAAUGCGUAGAUAUCUGGAGGAACAUCGAUGGCGAAGGCAGCCUCCUGGGCCACAACUGACGCUGAGGUACGAAAGCGUGGGGAGCAAACAGG